UUCCUACGGGACGCAGCAGUGAGGAAUAUUGGUCAAUGGUCGGGAGACUGAACCAGCCAAGCCGCGUGAGGGAGGAAGGUACAGAGUAUCGUAAACCUCUUUUGUCAGGGAACAAAGGCGGGGACGUGUCCCCGGAUGAGUGUACCUGAAGAAAAAGCAUCGGCUAACUCCGUGCCAGCAGCCGCGGUAAUACGGAGGAUGCGAGCGUUAUCCGGAUUUAUUGGGUUUAAAGGGUGCGCAGGCGGGAGAUCAAGUCAGCGGUAAAAUGUCGGGGCUCAACCCCGGCCGGCCGGUGAAAACGGGUU
This 305-nucleotide ribosomal RNA is filed under the name uncultured bacterium. RNAcentral's name for it is "bacterial SSU rRNA". It matches the Rfam family "Bacterial small subunit ribosomal RNA", at positions 336 to 638 of the family's 1533-position model. The record is from RNAcentral.